AGGGGAGUCGCCAAGUGGUAAGGCAUCGGAUUUUGAUUCCGACAUUCGCAGGUUCGAUCCCUGCUUCCCCUGCCA
RNAcentral lists this transfer RNA (75 nucleotides) under Burkholderiales bacterium. Its description in RNAcentral is "tRNA-Gln". It matches the Rfam family "tRNA". Rfam says of the family: Transfer RNA (tRNA) molecules are approximately 80 nucleotides in length. Their secondary structure includes four short double-helical elements and three loops (D, anti-codon, and T loops). Lineage: Bacteria; Pseudomonadati; Pseudomonadota; Betaproteobacteria; Burkholderiales. The record is from RNAcentral.